Molecule: ribosomal RNA, 502 nt
Filed under: uncultured bacterium
Lineage: Bacteria
Description: partial 16S ribosomal RNA
Rfam family: Bacterial small subunit ribosomal RNA
Source: RNAcentral
AUUGAACGCUGGCGGAAUGCUUUACACAUGCAAGUCGAACGGCAGCCCGGGAGCUUGCUCCUGGUGGCGAGUGGCGAACGGGUGAGUAAUAUAUCGGAACGUAUCCAAUAAUGGGGGAUAACUAAUCGAAAGGUUGGCUAAUACCGCAUACGCCCUGAGGGGGAAAGCUGGGGAUCUUCGGACCUAGCGUUAAUGGAGCGGCCGAUAUCUGAUUAGCUAGUUGGGGAGGUAAAAGCUCACCAAGGCGACGAUCAGUAGCUGGUCUGAGAGGACGACCAGCCACACUGGAACUGAGACACGGUCCAGACUCCUACGGGAGGCAGCAGUGGGGAAUUUUGGACAAUGGGGGAAACCCUGAUCCAGCCAUUCCGCGUGAGUGAAGAAAGCCUUCGGGUUGUAAAGCUCUUUCGCAAGGGAAGAAACGCUACCGGUGAAUAUCCGGUGAUAAUGACGGUACCUUGAUAAGAAGCACCGGCUAACUACGUGCCAGCCGCCGCAGUAA